Molecule: transfer RNA, 68 nt
Filed under: Marmota monax (woodchuck)
Lineage: Eukaryota; Metazoa; Chordata; Mammalia; Rodentia; Sciuridae
Description: tRNA.Ala
Source: RNAcentral
GUGGUGGCUCAGUGGUAAGGCACUAGCCCAGCACGUGCAAGGCCCUGAGUUCGAUCCUCAGUACCACA